AACGCAUCUUGCGCUCCUUGGUAUUCCGAGGAGCAUGCCUGUUUGAGUGUCAUUCAACUUCUCAACCACAUUCGUUCAUUUGAUUGUGGCUUGGAUGAUGGGGGUUUUUGUUUGCAGGCUUCUUAAUUAAUCUGAGAGGUCGGCUCCCCUGAAAUGUAUCAGUGGUAUCUGAGGCUAUUGCUAUAGGUGUGAUAAUUAUCUAUGCCCUUGGUUGUGCCGCAUGGAACUGCUUCCAACAAAGAUGAUCUUUUUGAUGAAUUUGACCUCAAAUCAGGUAGGACUACCCGCUGAACUUAA
Molecule: unclassified non-coding RNA, 297 nt
Filed under: Inocybe sp.
Lineage: Eukaryota; Fungi; Basidiomycota; Agaricomycetes; Agaricales; Inocybaceae
Also listed under: 2 other names
Description: partial contains 5.8S ribosomal RNA, internal transcribed spacer 2, and large subunit ribosomal RNA
Rfam family: 5.8S ribosomal RNA (bases 1-52)
Source: RNAcentral